UAGGGAAUAUUCCGCAAUGGACGCAAGUCUGACGGAGCGACGCCGCGUGAGUGAUGAAGGUCUUCGGAUCGUAAAACUCUGUUGUUAGGGAAGAACNAAGUAUCGGAGUAAUAUGCCGGUACCUUGACGGUACCUAACCAGAAAGCCCCGGCUAACUACGUG
Molecule: ribosomal RNA, 162 nt
Filed under: uncultured bacterium
Lineage: Bacteria
Description: partial 16S rRNA
Rfam family: Bacterial small subunit ribosomal RNA
Source: RNAcentral